This 506-nucleotide ribosomal RNA is filed under the name Glomus sp. Glo50. Its description in RNAcentral is "SSU rRNA". It matches the Rfam family "Eukaryotic small subunit ribosomal RNA", at positions 569 to 1078 of the family's 1831-position model. Lineage: Eukaryota; Fungi; Glomeromycota; Glomeromycetes; Glomerales; Glomeraceae. The record is from RNAcentral.
AGCAGCCGCGGUAAUUCCAGCUCCAAUAGCGUAUAUUAAAGUUGUUGCAGUUAAAAAGCUCGUAGUUGAAUUUCGGGAUCAAUACGUCGGUCGUGCUUCGGUACGUACUGGCGUCAUUGAUUUCUCCCUUCUGACGAACCAUGAUGUCAUUAACUUGGUGUCAUGGGAAAUCAGGACUGUUACUUUGAAAAAAUUAGAGUGUUUAAAGCAGGCUCACGCUUGAAUACAUUAGCAUGGAAUAAUGAAAUAGGACGUUCGAUCCUAUUUUGUUGGUUUUAGGAUCAACGUAAUGAUUAAUAGGGAUAGUUGGGGGCAUUAGUAUUCAAUUGUCAGAGGUGAAAUUCUUGGAUUUAUUGAAGACUAACUACUGCGAAAGCAUUUGCCAAGGAUGUUUUCAUUAAUCAAGAACGAAAGUUAGGGGAUCGAAGACGAUCAGAUACCGUCGUAGUCUUAACCAUAAACUAUGCCGACUAGGGAUCGGAUGAUGUUAAUUUUUUAAUGACUCA